RNAcentral lists this long non-coding RNA (218 nucleotides) under Elaeis guineensis (African oil palm). Its description in RNAcentral is "long non-coding RNA (EGUI_LNC015185)". Lineage: Eukaryota; Viridiplantae; Streptophyta; Magnoliopsida; Arecales; Arecaceae. The record is from RNAcentral.
AUCUCUUCAAGACCACCAUUCUAGAAGCCAAGUUGCAGGUGGCCUGGACUACUAUCACCUACACAAUGUUGACAUUAGGAGCUGACUAUGAUGUCAUUGAGGGGGACUUGGCCAUGAUGGUGGAUAGAUUCAAGGACUCCCAAGGGUGAGUACCACACAUCCACUUCUGACUGAUAUUUUGAGGCUACCGAGGGGAUCACAUCUUUGGACAUCAGGCA